Molecule: long non-coding RNA, 2095 nt
Organism: Gasterosteus aculeatus aculeatus (three-spined stickleback)
Lineage: Eukaryota; Metazoa; Chordata; Actinopteri; Perciformes; Gasterosteidae
Source: Ensembl
GCCGACACGAUUACAGGACGGGGGGAUGCAUAAAGGGAACAUUGUUCAAAAAGCAGGCCAGGCCUCCUCUGAAAAACUGUACUAAACACAACUCAUAUUGUGCUGCAUAUCUGCCUUUAUUAGCAAACGGGUGAAUAUGCAGGAGAAGUCAAGUUAUUUCCGCCGAGAUAUUGUUCGAACAGGCCGCAAAGGCCCGAGGGCGUCUUCAACACACCUAUUAACUCUCAGGCACUCGUAUAAAAAGCUGCGUUUGCCUUCACCACGGUGGCUGGAAGCCGUACGUAAUCUACCAAACCAAAGCCACUGUGUGUUUUACAAAUGAGCCGACCGUUCCCCUCGGGACCCUCGAGGCUGUUGACAUAAAGAUAUCAGCUUGAUCUGCGGGGGUUUGGCGCUUAUCCAUCUUUCAGAAGAUUGGGAUCUCUCUUCAAAAGCAGAGUCCAGUGCUUCCUAUCAUUACUGGGGAGUUAAAACCCCACAAUCGAGUCGAAAUUAUCUCUAUUGAUAACUGGCAAGGGAGAGGUUGAGCACUUAAUGACUUAAUAUGGAGGUAGGAUCAGUGGGGUGGGGGUCGGGGUGGACGUCUAUGAAGACGUGAUAAUUUGAGGAGACAGCCUGCAUGUGCGUACCGUGACAGCGAGCAGCACGGACCAGGUGUUUGAACUGCCUGAAUGCGGAAUUCAGCAUCCUUACGAAAGGGCUGACACCCUCCUUGUGUUUCCCCACAAAUACCUCCUGCAGGUUCCCCCCGACCAGCCGAGCAUGAAGCUGUGACUGCAAACUGCAAACGACUUUUUGACGUUCAUGUGUAAGGACUCUUCUAAAAAUGGAAUAUCCAAUUGACAAAAAAAAAAGCUCUGGCCUUCUUGCACCAACUGAGGUUUCAUUUGUUACCGAACUACCUGCCGGACAUUUAACUCAACGCAACAACAAACUGAAAGUUACUUCGAGGAAAAUACUUUUUUCGUGGUAAUGAUGUGUAAUCAACAGUGACCCCUUUUUUUAGGCGGUUGGUUCAAUGAACACAGAACUUGGGACUGGUGUUUCAACUCUGUGUCUGGAAAAAAAGGGUUUUGCUGCCUAAACCAUUAACAUUAGUUUGUAACCUGAUAUCCACUUGAAAGAGUCUAUCCAAGCCAAGAGGAAAACAAUGGAUUGAAUCUCAUGACUUUCUAAAAAACACUUAUACUUAUGGCUGGCUCAGGUUUGUAGUCAGGGCUGGCUCAGGUUUGUAGUUAGGGCUGGCUCAGGUUUGUAGUUAGGGCUGGCUCAGGUUUAUAGUCAGGGCUGGCUCAGGUUUGUAGUUAGGGCUGGCUCAGGUUUGUAGUUAGGGCUGGCUCAGGUUUAUAGUCAGGGCUGGCUCAGGUUUGUAGUUAGGGCUGGCCAGUCUGGACCAGCCCUGAGAUACGCUGCUCUAAGCUUGGACUGAGCUCCUCUCUCCUCCUUAUACCUGCUUAAUAUUUGCUCUAUUGACUUUGCUUCUUCUCUGCAGUCUCUGUGCUUUCUCUGUCCAGAGGUUUCUGUGGAUGGUGGUUAUAUGUGGACAGCGGUUGCUCCUGACGUGGACAUCCACUGCGACUCUCAUUAUCAGCAGAUGCAUCACUAUUCAUGACACCAUUACUGGACAUGGACAUGUGGGACGAGUGAUUCAGGAUUAUAACUGUAGUUUUUUUGUCAAUUUGGUUUGAUUUCUCAGGGCAGAUUUGCUUUCCUCUCUGUCUGAUGCUGAGAUCUGGUUCCAACAGUAUUGUCGGCCUCAGCGCCUCACAUCUCAAACACACCUGUACCUGUCUGGUGCUUACCUGUGGUGAGCCUCUGCUUGAUGCGAUGCCAGGUUUACAGAGCGCCUCUGAAGCUGAUAUCAACCUGCAUUCUAUUAAAUUGUGUGAACUUUGUGUGAAUAUGCUUAAAUGGAGUAACUGAUAUUUUGAGUUUUAGAGAAUAUGGAAAAGAUGAACUUAUACAAAUCACUAUUUAAUAAUUGUUUUAUUACUUUAUAUAAUAAACCACAAUGUCUCAUCCAAUGGCAUACUGCAUUUUAUGCACAUAUGUGUAUAUAGUUUAUAUGAAUAGUUGUAAAAAGUCCAUUCUAGUA